UACGAAGGGGGCUAGCGUUGCUCGGAGUGACUGGGCGUAAAGGGCGCGUAGGCGGCGAUCAAAGUCAGGCGUGAAAUUCCUGGGCUCAACCUGGGGGCUGCGCUUGAUACUUGGUUGCUUGAGUGGGGAAGAGGGUCGUGGAAUUCCCAGUGUAGAGGUGAAAUUCGUAGAUAUUGGGAAGAACACCGGUGGCGGAGGCGGCGACCUGGUCCAUUACUGACACUGAGGUGCGAAAGCGUGGGGAGCAAACAGG
Molecule: ribosomal RNA, 253 nt
Filed under: uncultured bacterium
Lineage: Bacteria
Description: partial 16S ribosomal RNA
Rfam family: Bacterial small subunit ribosomal RNA
Source: RNAcentral